UGGGGAAUAUUGCACAAUGGACGAAAGUCUGAUGCAGCGACGCCGCGUGGAGGAUGACGGUCUUCGGAUUGUAAACUCCUGUUAAGAGGGAAGAAAGAAUCAUGAGUAAUAUUCAUGAGUGAUGACGGUACCUCUAGAGAAAGCUCCGGCUAACUUCGUGCCAGCAGCCGCGGUAAUACGAAGGGAGCAAGCGUUAUUCGGAAUUACUGGGCGUAAAGGGCGCGUAGGCGGUCUGUUAAGUCAGUUGUUAAAGACCAUGGCUUACCCAUGGAAGUGCGAUUGAUACUGGCGGACUAGAGGACAAGAGAGAGGAGUGGAAUUCUCGGAGUAGCGGUAGAAUGCGUAGAUCUCGAGAGGAACACCGAUGGCGAAGGCAGCUCUUUGGCUUGUACCUGACGCU
Molecule: ribosomal RNA, 400 nt
Filed under: uncultured bacterium
Lineage: Bacteria
Description: bacterial SSU rRNA
Rfam family: Bacterial small subunit ribosomal RNA
Source: RNAcentral